This 778-nucleotide long non-coding RNA is filed under the name Cottoperca gobio. RNAcentral's name for it is "lncRNA (ENSCGOG00000024627.1)". The record is from RNAcentral. Lineage: Eukaryota; Metazoa; Chordata; Actinopteri; Perciformes; Bovichtidae.
UUGGACCAGAUUAAUUUAACAUUGUGAGCUAAGUCUGACUCGCUGAUCUUGGGAGCAGACGUAGCCUUUUUAUUUAGUUUCAUGAUGUUUUAAUUUGAGAGAAAUAACACAAAGACGUGUGUUUCAGGAGAAGAAAGGAGGCCUGGCCGGCAUCUUCAAAAGAUCAUCCAGCACUGAAAACCUGCUGGACGAGGUCGGUGUUUGAGAUACUUGUACUUUACUUGAUGUAUUUAUCUUUCUCAGGUUUCAUAAAAACAUUUCUGUGUUUCAGGAACGAGACGCUCAGAAAGACUCAGGCAGCAAUGACGACCUGUCUGAGAACAACACCACGAAGGUGAGCAGUGUGAUGCAAAACACAAACCUGUUGGUAAAAUGUCUUGAGAGGAAGCGUUCACUCACAACCAAUUUAUGUUUUAGGAGAAAAAUAUUUUUAGCAACAUGUUUAAGAAGCCGCAGAAACCAGCAGAGGGAGCUGCAGCAGACAAGGUACCGUCAGAGUCUUUCAGUCGCUACAUUGCUUCUCACGAUGGAGUGGAUGUUUAUAUUUACUGCUUUCUGGGUUGAAUUCAGGAGCAGGAGGUCGACACGGAAAAGCAGUUAUCUGUUAGCUGUGAGAAUCUGGCUGACACCCCCGCCCCGAAGGAGAAGAAAGGAGGCCUGGCCGGCAUCUUCAAAAGAUCCGCCAGCAUUGACAACCUGUUUGACGAGGAGAAAGGCGGGCUGUUCAGUGGACUUCUUAAGAAAACACCCAAAGCGUCCGGAGACGAUGCAGAGGUGA